This 903-nucleotide long non-coding RNA is filed under the name Anolis carolinensis (green anole). RNAcentral describes it as "lncRNA (ENSACAG00000032800.2)". Lineage: Eukaryota; Metazoa; Chordata; Lepidosauria; Squamata; Anolidae. The record is from RNAcentral.
AUGAUUGACACCUCAGAAAGUCACCCAACUGAAUUGUGUCAGUUUCUGACCUCCCUCCCUUACAUUUUCUUCGCAGUAAGUCCCGAAAUAACCUUUUUCUCUUUAGAUUCAGAAGAAAAAUGGCUUCCCUGCAGUGCGGAAGCAAAACAUCUCAACAAUGGAGCUCCAGGAGGGGACUCUUUUGCGGCAAGAUCAUUUGCAGACAUCCAGGAUUUGUCCAGUAUCUCUGGCGAGAACAUGCACAGCCCAAAGGUUUAUAAAACUCCCAAGAGCACCCACUCACCAACUGAUGCCAGUACUCCGAUCAGCCCAGCCACGGCGCCGCCAAGGUUUUUCUCCACUGUCGUCAAAAGCAAGGAUCGCUGCGUGAUGAAGAUAGACACAACAUGUUGGCCUACCCAGGAAGGAUCAUUCUCAGGACUUAGUACCUUCACCACCGCCACUGAGAAAGGGAAGAGUGUGGAGCUGCCUUCUGCUGAUUUCCCAGAACUUGAUGACUCCUUGGUAGCCGACAUUCAGUCACUAGUUUGUAGGGGUCAGAAAAAAACAGAGAAUAAGCUUCCUUCCAUUCCACAGAGAGGAGUUCCUGAGCAAGGCGAUUCAAAAGAGCAAGAGCCAGAAGAAAUAACCCUGAACAAAUGCAAAGCUGAUUGCAGCCUCUGCAUCGACGAGACUUCAUGCCUCGAAGAAGAGACGGAAAGGGCUCAUUCAAGCCUAGACAACAUUUUGGAGUUAGUCCUCGGGCCGACUGCCGACAGCCGCAGCUCUCGCGAAAAGCCUCCGGACCCUGUCAAGAGGAGGCCAAGCCACACAGACCUCAGAAAUAUCGAGAUGAAGGGAGGCGUGGAAGAUAGCUUCAGUGAAUCUGAGGGUUCCACCGAGAAUGCCGAAGGUGUUUCUUGA